This is a non-coding RNA of Pelobates cultripes (western spadefoot toad), 912 nucleotides long. NCBI's taxonomy places the organism in Eukaryota, Metazoa, Chordata, Amphibia, Anura, Pelobatidae. The record is from the annotation of a GenBank genome assembly.
GUAUUCAGGAAGUAAGAGGCCUUUAUUCACGUACCGAUUGGAACUCCUGUUCCAAAAAUAUCUGACCCUGAACACAUGGAGUACAUUCCUUAUAUAGCAAUAUAGCUCCUCCCAUAAUUAGCUACGCCCACACAUACCCUUAACCAAUCAAUGAACAGAGUCUAAACUCGUCCAUCCGGUCUAACCAUGUGGCUCAUCUGAAACAAAAGAGAAGGGUGCGUAACUCCAGUUCCUGCAUUCCUACACAUGCUCAGUACAUUGAUAACGGUAUCUUAGCUACGUGUAACUAACUAACUGAUAAUACAAACACAUGUACCUACAUAUGCCUUGUGGCAAUCUUGGCCUACUAAACUUUUAUUUUACUGGAAUUCCAUCACACACAGGCUCUGUAUGCACAUUGAUACGGUAAGUACACAGGCGCUGUAUGUACAUUGACGCGGUAAGUACACGGGCUCUGUAUGUACAUUGACGCGGUAAGUACACGGGCUCGGUAUGUACAUUGACGCGGUAAGUACACGGGCUCUGUAUGUGCAUUGACGCGGUAAGUACACGGGCUCUGUAUGUGCAUUGACGCGGUAAGUACACGGGCUCGGUAUGUGCAUUGACGCGGUAAGUACAGGGGCUCUGUAUGUGCUUUGACGCGGUAAGUACACGGGCUCGGUAUGUACAUUGACGCGGUAAGUACACGGGCUCGGUAUGUGCAUUGACGCGGUAAGUACACGGCUCGGUAUGUGCAUUGACGCGGUAAGUACACGGGCUCUGUAUGUGCAUUGACGCGGUAAGUACACGGGCUCUGUAUGUGCGUUGACGCGGUAAGUACACGGGCUCUGUAUGUGCGUUGACGCGGUAAGUACACGGGCUCGGUAUGUGCGUUGACGCGGUAAGUACACGGGCUCGGUAUGUGCGCUGACG